GAUGAACGCUGGCGGCGUGCCUAAUACAUGCAAGUCGAGCGAACGGACGAGAAGCUUGCCUCUCUGAUGUUAGCGGCGGACGGGUGAGUAACACGUGGAUAACCUACCUAUAAGACUGGGAUAACUUCGGGAAACCGGAGCUAAUACCGGAUAAUAUUUUGAACCGCAUGGUUCAAAAGUGAAAGACGGUCUUGCUGUCACUUAUAGAUGGAUCCGCGCUGCAUUAGCUAGUUGGUAAGGUAACGGCUUACCAAGGCAACGAUGCAUAGCCGACCUGAGAGGGUGAGCGGCCACGCUGGAACUGACACGGUCCAGACGCCUGCGGGAGGCAGCAGUAGGGAAUCUUCCGCAAUGGGCGAAAGCCUGACGGAGCAACGCCGCGUGAGUGAUGAAGGUCUUCGGAUCGUAAAACUCUGUUAUUAGGGAAGAACAUAUGUGUAAGGAACUGUGCACAUCUUGACGGUACCUAAUCAGAAAGCCACGGCUAACUACGUG
Molecule: ribosomal RNA, 495 nt
Filed under: uncultured bacterium
Lineage: Bacteria
Description: partial 16S ribosomal RNA
Rfam family: Bacterial small subunit ribosomal RNA
Source: RNAcentral